Diospyros lotus (date-plum) is the source of this 630-nucleotide long non-coding RNA. RefSeq lists it as uncharacterized. The transcript has 2 exons. The record is from RefSeq and is a predicted model, not a curated record. NCBI's taxonomy places the organism in Eukaryota, Viridiplantae, Streptophyta, Magnoliopsida, Ericales, Ebenaceae.
CUCCAGCAAAUCCCCAAAUUCUUAAAUCCGCAUUCCUUCGUCUCCAGCCUCUUCCUCUCUUUCGCACUCCCGCCUUCGUCUCCCUCUCUUAUACUCCUGCCGUUGCCGCCUCCUCGCUGCCUCUACGUCACCGUCGCCUCCAGAUCCAUUGCCUACUGGUCGUCGCCUCCACUGCCUCAACGCCGCCGCCGCCUAGAGCUCCAUUGCAGCCUCCUCGCUGCCUCCAGUUCCGUCGCUGAUCAGAGAGAAAUUUUAGAGCACGGCUGUAGCAACAAUUUCAGUGAAGCUGAAAAGGAGCAGAUCCAAAAAUCUAAGGUGGUGUUCUUUUUGUGUUUUAGUUUUGUGUUUUGAGUUUUGAAUUCAUUUUGAGUUUUGUGCUUUGAGUAUCUGUUUUGAAAUUUUUGAAAAUGCGUCAUUUUUGUUAUUCUGAAAAAUUAUUUUUCAAAACAGAAAAUUAGAAAACAUGUUUAUUUUGAAAAUUUAAAAAUAGUUUCUUUUUUUGUUAUUAUGAUAUUUAAUUUAAUAAAUUUAAUUUAAAAUAAAUAAUAAAUAUUUAUUAAUAAAUUAUAAAUUUGAUUCAAAUACUUUAAACUAUAAAAUAAAAUUCAAAAAAAAAAAAAAAAUCAACAA